This 655-nucleotide ribosomal RNA is filed under the name uncultured forest soil bacterium. Its description in RNAcentral is "bacterial SSU rRNA". It matches the Rfam family "Bacterial small subunit ribosomal RNA", at positions 64 to 767 of the family's 1533-position model. The record is from RNAcentral.
GAGCGCCCCGCAAGGGGAGCGGCAGACGGGAGAGUAACACGUGGGAACGUACCCUUUGGUUCGGAACAACCCAGGGAAACUUGGGCUAAUACCGGAUAAGUCCGUAAGGAGAAAGAUUUAUCGCCAAAGGAUCGGCCCGCGUCUGAUUAGCUUGUUGGUGAGGUAACGGCUCACCAAGGCGACGAUCAGUAGCUGGUCUGAGAGGAUGAUCAGCCUCACUGGGACUGAGACACGGCCCAGACUCCUACGGGAGGCAGCAGUGGGGAAUAUUGGACAAUGGGCACAAGCCUGAUCCAGCCAUGCCGCGUGGAUGAUGAAGGCCUUAGGGUUGUAAAGUCCUUUCGGCGGGGAAGAUAAUGACGGUACCCGCAGAAGAAGCCCCGGCUAACUUCGUGCCAGCAGCCGCGGUAAUACGAAGGGGGCUAGCGUUGCUCGGAAUCACUGGGCGUAAAGCGCACGUAGGCGGCUUUUUAAGUCAGAGGUGAAAUCCUGGAGCUCAACUCCAGAACUGCCUUUGAUACUGGAGAGCUUGAGUCCGGGAGAGGUGAGUGGAACCGCGAGUGUAGAGGUGAAAUUCGUAGAUAUUCGCAAGAACACCAGUGGCGAAGGCGGCUCACUGGCCCGGUACUGACGCUGAGGUGCGAAAGCGUGGGGA